This 45-nucleotide non-coding RNA is filed under the name Burkholderia vietnamiensis. RNAcentral describes it as "Guanidine-II sequence". It matches the Rfam family "Guanidine-II riboswitch aptamer (mini-ykkC)". From Rfam's summary of the family: Simpler in structure and has fewer highly conserved nucleotide positions than the ykkC-yxkD leader. The record is from RNAcentral. RNAcentral also lists the same sequence under 1 other name. Lineage: Bacteria; Pseudomonadati; Pseudomonadota; Betaproteobacteria; Burkholderiales; Burkholderiaceae.
GCCCGGGGACGGCCCCGGGCCGUUCGCUUCAACGGGGACGACCCC